Molecule: ribosomal RNA, 681 nt
Filed under: uncultured bacterium
Lineage: Bacteria
Description: bacterial SSU rRNA
Rfam family: Bacterial small subunit ribosomal RNA
Source: RNAcentral
CCCUUAGAGUUUGAUCCUGGCUCAGAGCGAACGCUGGCGGCAGGCUUAACACAUGCAAGUCGAACGGGCACCUUCGGGUGUCAGUGGCAGACGGGUGAGUAACACGUGGGAACGUACCCUUUGGUUCGGAACAACUCUGGGAAACUGGAGCUAAUACCGGAUACGCCCUUGGCUUUUGGCUUUGGGGAAAGGUUGACUGCCGAAGGAUCGGCCCGCGUCUGAUUAGCUAGUUGGUGAGGUAACGGCUCACCAAGGCGACGAUCAGUAGCUGGUCUGAGAGGAUGAUCAGCCACACUGGGACUGAGACACGGCCCAGACUCCUACGGGAGGCAGCAGUGGGGAAUAUUGGACAAUGGGCGCAAGCCUGAUCCAGCCAUGCCGCGUGAGUGAUGAAGGCCUUAGGGUUGUAAAGCUCUUUUGUCCGGGACGAUAAUGACGGUACCGGAAGAAUAAGCCCCGGCUAACUUCGUGCCAGCAGCCGCGGUAAUACGAAGGGGGCUAGCGUUGCUCGGAAUCACUGGGCGUAAAGGGCGCGUAGGCGGCCUGAUCAGUCGGGGGUGAAAGCCUGUGGCUCAACCACAGAAUGGCCUUCGAUACUGUCAGGCUUGAGACCGGAAGAAGUAAGUGGAACUGCGAGUGUAGAGGUGAAAUUCGUAGAUAUUCGCAAGAACACCAGUGGCG